AGGUUUAUAUAUCUGUGGAAUGUCCAGGGUGGGGGAAAGAACUCUUGUCUGCCUGAGGCAAGUGUGAAUGUUGCAACUGGCCACUUUGAUAAGCAUUGAAUAGCCUGGCAGCUUCAAAGCCUGGUUGCUUCCUGCCUGGGGGCAUUCUUUCUUGGGAAGUGUUAGCUGGCCCUGAUUGUUUCCUGUUUCCUGUCUGGAAUUCCCCUGUUUUCAGAGAAUUGUUCUUUAAUAACUGUCCUGAUUUUAGAGGGUUUUUUUUUAAUACUGGUAGCCAGAUUUUGUUCAUUGUCAUGGUUUCCUCCUUUCUGCUGAAAUUGUCCACAAGGUGGGAAAGUAAAAGUUGAGAAUGUAUCUUAUACUCAGUGCUUUGAAAUGUUAUGUUUUUUUUACUACAACUUCCAGACUCCUCCAGCUAGCCUUAGAGAUUAUGGGAACUAUAGUCAAAACAUAUAUAUUUCCCAAACUCUGGCUUGGGAAGUCCCUACCCUGUAUCUCCAAAAAUUUGACAGAGUCAUAUAUUAAUUUUUACUCCAAAAGAUAUGCUAGGGCUAGUGUAUACCAAGGGAUGUGUGUCAUGACUCCUGCCUCCCAUGACGUGUGCUGGCUAGACACCCAGUUGCGUGAUUCCCAGAGACCACAAAUGAGUAGGACAGGCUGCUUACCUGUAACUAUUUCUUUGCAUGGCCAUCUGUGAAUUCACACAACACAUCCUCCCUGUGUAAGGGUAAUGCCACCUCAGGUCGUAAUACAGGCUGCAGCUCUGGCCUAGGAGCAGAGGGGUUUUGGCAGUAGUAACUGGGUCUGACAGAGCCUUGGGAGGUGGGCGGGGUUACCCUCAGAUCUAUCCACUAUCUGCUUAGUGAUUCUAGAAGGUUCCAAACAGUGCUCUGUGCAGGCACAGAAUACCCAGUUGUGUGAAUUCACAGAUGACCAUUCGAAGAAAUACAGUUACAGAUUUCUCAGCAUGGAGAAGUGGUUUAGACUGAGAUUAGGCUUGGCUGAAGGUAACUUUCCAGCUGCACCCAAGCUCAUCCAACUGGCUUAUAUCUAUUUGUGUGGCUUCUUCCUUGCGAUGAUUGGUUGAGUCCUGUGCCUGAGAGCAGAGGAAUGGAGAGUGGCAUCCCAUGCCUGGCACCAGCGCUGACAAGAUCUGGGUUGGGAUCUGAGGAGACUGUUUCCUGGAACCUCUUCCUGAUCCCACAAAGCAAUGCCUGGAGUUCCUGGAUGAACACUGGUUCCUCCCAAAGGAGAUUUUCUUUGCACAAGACUUAAUGUCUUUAGCUUGUAUUGUAGUAUCUUUAGCUCUAGCUUUCAUGUCCUUUGCCUUAUGGAACCUUUUUCACAAAGUAAGUCUGAAGAAUUAUUUGCUUAUUUUUUCUGGGUUGGGGGAGUUCUCAGUUUACCGUCUGGUGUCACUAUUCUUAUCCUACUUUUGUGGAAUAUGUAUUCUGUAUUAGUCCAUGAAAGUAUUCAUUUCCCCAGUGAUUUUCGUUUGCCUACACUUCCAUAUGAGCAGAAUAUUGGUUUUGCCAUCUAUGUGGGGAUUUCUGCUUCAGGAUUCCAGUUAACAAGUUCAUUAUUUAUUCUCAGUGAUAAAUUUUGGAUUAGGCCCAAUAUAGGCCAUUCUAUCAUAGUCACUCCGAAGCAAUCCACCAGUAACAGUGACACUGAAACCUGUCCCCAUUGUUGAUCGUCUAUAUCUCUUGAGGAACUAUCUGAAUAACAACUUUUUAAUAUUUAAAGGGGUGUAAAUAUUUUAAAUAGCUGCUUUUAUUAUGUGUUGAUUCCAAAAAUUACUUUAAACUGUUUCUGUUUUCACUUUGUGUUCAAAAUAUGUUUAAAUGUAGAAUAGUUUUUAACUCAAUAAAUUAAAAAUUGUGGCCAAGUG
This is a long non-coding RNA of Anolis carolinensis (green anole), 1888 nucleotides long. RefSeq lists it as uncharacterized. The record is from RefSeq and is a predicted model, not a curated record. The transcript is spliced from 2 exons. NCBI's taxonomy places the organism in Eukaryota, Metazoa, Chordata, Lepidosauria, Squamata, Anolidae.